Carassius gibelio (silver crucian carp) is the source of this 1097-nucleotide long non-coding RNA. RefSeq lists it as uncharacterized. The record is from RefSeq and is a predicted model, not a curated record. Lineage: Eukaryota; Metazoa; Chordata; Actinopteri; Cypriniformes; Cyprinidae. The transcript is spliced from 5 exons.
CCACAUUUAUACGAUAGUUCAUCAGCAACAGAAUACACUCGUCUUCAGUUGCUAUUGUGAUAUGAAUAUCACGCGACCCGACUCUACUAAUAUCACCCGACUCUACUACCCCCUGUUGCGUGAGCGGUGUAUUGCAUACACGCAUCACCCGUGAUGCUUGCAUUCACUGUUUAGUCUAUGAAAGGGAGCGCGUAGCUCGCGUUUCUCGCGUUGACUAUGAAACGGCCCUAAAAAUCUCAAAGGGUUCACAGAACAGCACUAUUUAGUAAAGAAAUGUGGCUCUGUAGUGGACACCUGUGAGGCAGUGUACAAACAGCUGCUGAUGCUGGCUGACAAUAAACAGACCUCUCUGGACGUACCCCAUCUUUUGCAGAGAAAUUCUAACAUUGCCCUUCCUGUAACAUGAUGAUCCUGCUGUCCUGGACUGUAUAUGAUGAGCCUACACAAUCUCAGAACAGCUGUGGUAAUAACAGAGGACCCAUUUGGUGAGAGCAGCACUACAGUCUUUCCUGAUGGUGAGGAGCUUCUUGCUGAUGAACCUGCAGACAUGAGUUCACCUUACUAUGAGAGGAGAUCAUGGACCAUUUUCACAAGACUGAUGAUGUGUUUCAGCUGUGUUUUCAUCGUAAAUCCUCACAAUGUUUGUAAAUUUUGAUUUAAAAAAAAUUAUGUGCAUUUAUAACACUAUACUUUGUAUUAUAUCACAUUCGUAUUAAAUUACAGAAAAAAAUAGUUAAUGCUAAUGCAAGGGUGUUUCUAGUCCAAGAGUCUUUGGGAGGGAUGCUAAAUUUGACAUUGUUCUUUCUUCUGACUGCUGUUAAUCAGUCAGAUUUUUCCUUUGAUUGAAAGUUGUGAAAAUGCUAUUGUAGAGUUUUUCAUUUUGCUAUUUGAGUAAAUAAGAAUGCAAAAAUAUAUUUUUGAUACUGUCCCAUUCACUGCUCUAGAAGUUAACCCAACUAUAACAACUUAUGCUGCUGAGAAACUGGUUUAUUAAGCUAAAUACAUCUAUCUUGAGGCUUAUCAAUUUCUUAAAAUAUCCUGUGUGAAUUCUCCCAAUCAGUUACCACUAUUAGAACGGGAAAUAAAAUGUUGCUAUU